RNAcentral lists this ribosomal RNA (301 nucleotides) under uncultured bacterium. RNAcentral describes it as "partial 16S ribosomal RNA". It matches the Rfam family "Bacterial small subunit ribosomal RNA", at positions 509 to 807 of the family's 1533-position model. The record is from RNAcentral.
CAGUCGCCACGGUAAAACGAAGGGGGCUAGCGUUGUUCGGAAUUACUGGGCGUAAAGCGCACGUAGGCGGAUAUUUAAGUCAGGGGUGAAAUCCCAGAGCUCAACUCUGGAACUGCCUUUGAUACUGGGUAUCUUGAGUAUGGAAGAGGUGAGUGGAAUUCCGAGUGUAGAGGUGAAAUUCGUAGAUAUUCGGAGGAACACCAGUGGCGAAGGCGGCUCACUGGUCCAUUACUGACGCUGAGGUGCGAAAGCGUGGGGAGCAAACAGGAUUAGAGACCCGUGUAGUCCCUGUCUCUUAUAC